CCGACUCCCCGAGGAGUCCUUUCCACCCGAGGGCCAGUGAGCCGGGGAAGAGGACUUCUCACUCCCAGAGCAAGAGGUGUCCCCCCAACUGGAUACAGACCUCCACCGCCACCCCCAACACAGGAGACCUAUGGAGAGUAUGACUAUGACGAUGGGUACAGUACAGCAUAUGAUGACCAGAGCUACGACUCCUAUGACAACAGCUACAGCACCCCAGCACAAAGCGGAGCGGAUUACUAUGAUUACGGGCAUGGACUCGGCGAGGAGGCUUAUGAUUCCUAUGUUCAUCAGAGACAUGUAUCUCCUGUAUGACAUUCACCACUGGUUCUGACAGAUGAAGCUCCUGGGACCUCAUGACAGUGGCCUAAUUAUGAUUCAUCUUCCUGAUUUUAGGGCAAGAGGACUGGACUAACUCAAGACAUAAGGCUCCUUCGGCGAGGACAGCGAAGGGCGUCUACAGAGAGCAGCCAUAUGGCAGAUACUGACUGUACUGUCUGAUGUUGUGAAAUAGCCAAUCUCCACCGUCCUGUAUACUGUUCAAAGUAAUUGUUUUCUAUGACCAAUCCCUUUUUAAAUAAAUCAAAAUGCUUAAAAUCUG
Molecule: long non-coding RNA, 598 nt
Filed under: Rattus norvegicus (Norway rat)
Lineage: Eukaryota; Metazoa; Chordata; Mammalia; Rodentia; Muridae
Description: long non-coding RNA NONRATT026011
Source: RNAcentral